CCUACGGGAGGCAGCAGUGAGGAAUAUUGGUCAAUGGACGAGAGUCUGAACCAGCCAAGUAGCGUGAAGGAUGACUGCCCUAUGGGUUGUAAACUUCUUUUAUAAAGGAAUAAAACGAGGCACGUGUGCCUUUUUGCAUGUACUUUAUGAAUAAGGAUCGGCUAACUCCGUGCCAGCAGCCGCGGUAAUACGGAGGAUCCGAGCGUUAUCCGGAUUUAUUGGGUUUAAAGGGUGCGUAGGCGGACUGUUAAGUCAGCGGUAAAAGGCCGGGGCUCAACCUCGGCGAGCCGUUGAAACUGGCUGUCUUGAGAUGUGGAGAGGUAUGCGGAAUGCGCAGUGUAGCGGUGAAAUGCGUAGAUAUUGCGAAGAACUCCGAUUGCGAAGGCAGCACACCGGCGUCGAACUGACGCUGAGGCACGAAAGCGUGGGUAUCGAACAGGAUUAGAUACCCUGGUAGUC
Molecule: ribosomal RNA, 459 nt
Filed under: uncultured bacterium
Lineage: Bacteria
Description: partial 16S ribosomal RNA
Rfam family: Bacterial small subunit ribosomal RNA
Source: RNAcentral